RNAcentral lists this transfer RNA (81 nucleotides) under Phacus orbicularis. RNAcentral describes it as "tRNA-Leu". It matches the Rfam family "tRNA". From Rfam's summary of the family: Transfer RNA (tRNA) molecules are approximately 80 nucleotides in length. Their secondary structure includes four short double-helical elements and three loops (D, anti-codon, and T loops). Lineage: Eukaryota; Euglenozoa; Euglenophyceae; Euglenales; Phacaceae. The record is from RNAcentral.
GCCUUCAUGAUGAAAUGGUAGACAUGAUUGAUUCAAAAUCAAUUGCUAAAUAGCAUGCCAGUUCGAAUCUGGCUGAGGGCA